CAAUAGCGUAUAUUAAAGUUGUUGCAGUUAAAAAGCUCGUAGUUGGAUUUCUGGUGGGAGCGAUCGGUCUGGCGCUUAGCGCGAGUACUUGCAUCGUCUCCGGCCAUCCUUGGGGAGAGGCUGUCUGGCAUUAGGUUGUCGGGCAGAGGAUCCUCAUCGUUUACUGUGAAAAAAUUAGAGUGUUCAAAGCAGGCUUAUGCCGUUGAAUAUAUUAGCAUGGAAUAAUAAGAUAGGACUUUGGUACUAUUUUGUUGGUUUGCGCACCAAAGUAAUGAUUAAUAGGGACAGUUGGGGGUAUUCGUAUUCCGUUGUCAGAGGUGAAAUUCUUGGAUUUACGGAAGACGAACUACUGCGAAAGCAUUUACCAAGGAUGUUUUCAUUAA
This 383-nucleotide ribosomal RNA is filed under the name uncultured eukaryote. RNAcentral describes it as "partial 18S ribosomal RNA". It matches the Rfam family "Eukaryotic small subunit ribosomal RNA", at positions 592 to 976 of the family's 1831-position model. The record is from RNAcentral.